This 253-nucleotide ribosomal RNA is filed under the name uncultured bacterium. RNAcentral describes it as "partial 16S ribosomal RNA". It matches the Rfam family "Bacterial small subunit ribosomal RNA", at positions 524 to 776 of the family's 1533-position model. The record is from RNAcentral.
UACGUAGGGCGCGAGCGUUGUCCGGAAUUAUUGGGCGUAAAGAGCUCGUAGGCGGCCUGUCGUGUCUGCUGUGAAAUCCCGGGGCUUAACCCCGGGCGUGCAGUGGAUACGGGCAGGCUGGAGGCAGGCAGGGGAGAACGGAAUUCCCGGUGUAGCGGUGAAAUGCGCAGAUAUCGGGAGGAACACCGGUGGCGAAGGCGGUUCUCUGGGCCUGUACUGACGCUGAGGAGCGAAAGCGUGGGGAGCGAACAGG